This 697-nucleotide long non-coding RNA is filed under the name Elaeis guineensis (African oil palm). RNAcentral describes it as "long non-coding RNA (EGUI_LNC021195)". The record is from RNAcentral. Lineage: Eukaryota; Viridiplantae; Streptophyta; Magnoliopsida; Arecales; Arecaceae.
UUCCUGCAGGGGCGGAGAAGCCAUCACUGCCUUAAACCUCGACCCGACGAUUUCGGUAAGCCUCUCAAAUCCCUCCAAGAUUAUGGUUGGAUUUCUUUGCCUCCGAGAAACUAGAAAUUGAAAGGUCCAAAUGAUCAACUCUACGAUCAGUUGUUACAAUUAAUAGGUGUUCAAAUCGUUCAUUUGUAUAAAUUCAAACCCUUUUUUAUUUUUAUUGGAUGAUCGUUAUACUUCCCAAAGACCAAAAUUCUUGACCGGUCGAGGAACAAUAUCACCAUUUUUGCUAAAAAAGAUAGCAAAUUGAAAAGAAAAACAUAGAAUAGAAAAAUGAUGCUUUGGACACAAAAAGAUUAAUGGGAGUUGUCACAUGCUUAUUCCUUGGUUAAAAGGGCCACACCAAAGUGUAUUAUGCUGAUCUGUUUCAUCAAAAUAUUUAAUAAAUUUGAUGUACGGUAAGCACGAAAAGUUUGUAGUAGUAUUGCCGAUGGAGGAUGGUGAACAUAUGAUGUCUGCAGUGAAAAUGUGUGCGCUGGGAGUGGCCACAAUGCAACAUCUGGCAAAAGAAGGAUUGCAGCGACAAAUGUUGAUCUUUGAUCAACAAAAAAGACCGUGUUUAAUGUAUUCUGGACAUGAUGCUUCUAGUAUAUCGAUCAUGGCUAUAUGUUUUCCAGGGUUCUUUAUGGUCGCAGAAGCACCC